This 492-nucleotide ribosomal RNA is filed under the name uncultured bacterium. RNAcentral's name for it is "partial 16S ribosomal RNA". It matches the Rfam family "Bacterial small subunit ribosomal RNA", at positions 29 to 507 of the family's 1533-position model. The record is from RNAcentral.
AGUGAACGCUGGCGGUAGGCCUAACACAUGCAAGUCGAACGGCAGCACCGUAAGAGCUUGCUCUUACGGGUGUCGAGUGUCGGACGGGUGAGUUAUACAUCGGAAUCUACUUUUUCGUGGGUGCUAACGUAGGGAAACUUACGCUAACACCGCAUACGACCUCCGUGUGAAAGCAGGGGUUCUUCUGACCUUUCGCUAUUGUAUGAGCCUAUGUCGGAUUAGCUAGUUGGCGGGUUAAAGGCCCACCUAGGCGACGAUCCGUAUCUGGUAUGAGAGGAUGAUCAGACACACUGGAACAGAGAAACGGUACAGACACCUACGGGAGGCAGCAGUGGGGAAUAUUGGACAAUGGGCGCAAGCCUGAUACAGGAAAACCGCGGGAGGGAAGAAGGACUUAGGGUUGUAAAGCCCUGAUGUUGGGAAAGAAAAGAAGCAGGUUAAUACCCGGCGGUAAUGACGGUACCGAAAGAAUAAGCACCGGCUAACUUCGUG